This 497-nucleotide ribosomal RNA is filed under the name uncultured bacterium. RNAcentral describes it as "partial 16S ribosomal RNA". It matches the Rfam family "Bacterial small subunit ribosomal RNA", at positions 28 to 507 of the family's 1533-position model. The record is from RNAcentral.
GAUGAACGCUUGCGACGUGCCUAAUACAUGCAAGUCGAGCGAACAGACGAGGAGCUUGCUCCUCUGACGUUAGCGGCGGACGGGUGAGUAACACGUGGAUAACCUACCUAUAAGACUGGGAUAACUUCGGGAAACCGGAGCUAAUACCGGAUAAUAUAUUGAACCGCAUGGUUCAUUAGUGAAAGACGGUUUUGCUGUCACUUAUAGAUGGAUCCGCGCCGCAUUAGCUAGUUGGUAAGUUAACGGCUUACCAAGGCGACGAUGCAUAGCCGACCUGAGAGGGUGAUCGGACACACUGGAACUGAGACACGGUCCAGACUCCUACGGGAGGCAGCAGUAGGGAAUCUUCCACAAUGGGCGAAAGCCUGACGGAGCAACGCCGCGUGAGUGAUGAAGGUCUUCGGAUCGUAAAACUCUGUUAUUAGGGAAGAACAAAUGUGUAAGUAACUAUGCACGUCUUGACGGUACCUAAUCAGAAAGCCACGGCUAACUACGUG